AACGAACGCUGGCGGCAUGCCUAACACAUGCAAGUCGAACGAGACCUUCGGGUCUAGUGGCGCACGGGUGCGUAACGCGUGGGAACCUGCCCUUAGGUUCGGAAUAACUCCCCGAAAGGGGUGCUAAUACCGGAUAAUGUCUUCGGACCAAAGAUUUAUCGCCGUUGGAUGGGCCCGCGUUGGAUUAGCUAGUUGGUAGGGUAAAAGCCUACCAAGGCGACGAUCCAUAGCUGGUCUGAGAGGAUGAUCAGCCACACUGGGACUGAGACACGGCCCAGACUCCUACGGGAGGCAGCAGUGGGGAAUAUUGGACAAGGGGCGAAAGCCUGAUGCAGCAAUGCCGCGUGAGUGAUGAAGGCCUGAGGGUUGUAAAGCUCUUUUACCCGGGAUGAUAAUGACAGUACCGGGAGAAUAAGCGCCGGCUAACUCCGUG
Molecule: ribosomal RNA, 433 nt
Filed under: uncultured bacterium
Lineage: Bacteria
Description: partial 16S ribosomal RNA
Rfam family: Bacterial small subunit ribosomal RNA
Source: RNAcentral